This 1403-nucleotide ribosomal RNA is filed under the name Sulfurovum zhangzhouensis. RNAcentral describes it as "partial 23S ribosomal RNA". It matches the Rfam family "Bacterial large subunit ribosomal RNA", at positions 1 to 1350 of the family's 2925-position model. Lineage: Bacteria; Pseudomonadati; Campylobacterota; Epsilonproteobacteria; Campylobacterales; Sulfurovaceae. The record is from RNAcentral.
GGUCAAGUGAAUAAGCGUGCACGGUGGAUGCCUUGGCAGUCAGAGGCGAUGAAGGACGUUGUAGCCUGCGAAAAGGUUCGGGGAGUCGGCAAACAGACUUUGAUCCGGACAUGUCCGAAUGGGGAAACCCACCCGCUUGCGGGUAUCUCUUAACUGAAUACAUAGGUUUUGAGAGGCGAACCCGGGGAACUGAAACAUCUAAGUACCCGGAGGAAAAGAAAUCAACCGAGAUUCCCUUAGUAGCGGCGAGCGAACGGGGAGCAGCCCUUAAGCUGUUUUCGUUUUAGCAGAACACUCUGGAAAGUGUGGCCAUAGUGGGUGAUAGCCCCGUAUGCGAAAGAGCGUUAACAGUGAAAUCGAGUAGGACGGGACACGUGUUAUCCUGUCUGAAUAUGGGGGGACCAUCCUCCAAGGCUAAAUACUCCUGACUGACCGAUAGUGAACCAGUACCGUGAGGGAAAGGCGAAAAGAACCCCUGUGANCACGUGUUAUCCUGUCUGAAUAUGGGGGGACCAUCCUCCAAGGCUAAAUACUCCUGACUGACCGAUAGUGAACCAGUACCGUGAGGGAAAGGCGAAAAGAACCCCUGUGAGGGGAGUGAAAUAGAUCCUGAAACCGUGUACGUACAAGCAGUGGGAGCCGUUUACGGACGGUGACUGCGUACCUUUUGUAUAAUGGGUCAACGACUUACUUUCAGUAGCAAGGUUAACCGUGUAGGGGAGCCGUAGGGAAACCGAGUCUUAAUAGGGCGUUGAGUUGCUGGGAGUAGACCCGAAACCGGGCGAUCUAUCCAUGGGCAGGUUGAAGGUUGAGUAACAUCAACUGGAGGACCGAACCGACUAUCGUUGAAAAGCUAGCGGAUGACCUGUGGAUCGGAGUGAAAGGCUAAUCAAGCCCGGAGAUAGCUGGUUCUCCUCGAAAGCUAUUUAGGUAGCGCCUCAUGUCUCACCUUGGGGGGUAGAGCACUGUUUCGGCUAGGGGGUCAUCCCGACUUACCAACCCGAUGCAAACUCCGAAUACCCAAGAGUGCAAUCAUGGGAGACACACGGCGGGUGCUAACGUCCGUCGUGAAAAGGGAAACAACCCAGACCGCCAGCUAAGGUCCCAAAGUUCUAGUUAAGUGGGAAACGAUGUGGGAAGGCUUAGACAGCUAGGAGGUUGGCUUAGAAGCAGCCACCCUUUAAAGAAAGCGUAAUAGCUCACUAGUCGAGUCGGCCUGCGCGGAAGAUAUAACGGGGCUCAAACUAGACACCGAAGCUGCGGAUGCCUUAGGGCAUGGUAGAGGAGCGUUCUGUAAGCCGUUGAAGCGGAAGCUGUGAGGCACCGUGGAGGUAUCAGAAGUGCGAAUGUUGACAUAAGUAACGAUAAAGGGGGUGAAAAACCCCCUCGCCGGAAGACCAAGG